Long non-coding RNA from Mustela erminea (ermine), 239 nucleotides. RefSeq lists it as uncharacterized. Lineage: Eukaryota; Metazoa; Chordata; Mammalia; Carnivora; Mustelidae. The transcript is spliced from 3 exons. The record is from RefSeq and is a predicted model, not a curated record.
AAUGGAGCUACAGUUAAUGAAUGGGAUUUGCAUACAGCUGAUAGGAGGGAACUAUUUUAUGGGCUGGAGAUCCAAGUUCGGGGCUAAAAAAGAUGUGAAGCAUGAAGAACAUCAGGAAAUAUUCAGAGGAUAAAGUUAUAACUUUCUUGAAAGAAUAAUGUAGGGGCACCCAGGUGAUUCAGUGGUGGUUAAGGAUCUAUCUUCUGCUCAGGUCAUAAUCCUGGGGUUCUGGGAUCCAG